UGGGGCUGAAGAAUGGACUUGCAAGAUGGCCUCACUAACAUGGCUGGCAAGCUGGUGUUGACUGUUGGCUUGAAGCUCAGCUGGGGCUGUUAACCAGUGGCCUCACUUCCUUUCUGCUUGGCCUCUCCACAUGGCUAGAUUGGACUUCUCACAGGGAGGCAGUCUCUGGAUAUUCAAACUUCUUACAUGGUGGCUGGCUUCUUCUAAAAUACAAAAAUGAAAGCUGCCAGGCCUUUGUAAGGCUUAGAAUUGAACUGGCACCCUGUCACUUCCUCCAUGAUCUAUUGGUUAAAGAAGGUCACAGAACCAGCCCAGAUUCAAGGAGCGGGGAACAAUCCAAGGACAUGAAUAUUGGGAUUGGUAGCCGACUUCCCGUGACUGACCAGCCUCUCAUUAGCUCUGCCUGACUGCAGACCCUCCAGCCCUGACAAGUCCUCCAGCAGCUCGUUGGCCUGAGCACCCACUCCUGCCUCUGCUAAGAAAACCAACCACCAGGACUCCCAGAUAGUAUCAAGAAACUGAAACUCACCAGAUCACUGCCUCUGGACCAUGAGAUGUCAGAUCCCUCACCUGUCACGAUUGCCUAACUGACCACCUGCUUCCUGUUGACCAUCUCCUCUUCCCUACCCUCCUUAGUUCUUGUUUUCCCAUACAUUGUUACAUUUCUUCCUUGCUCUAUAAACCUCUAAUUACAGUCAGUUGGGGAGAUGGAUGUGGGACUGAUCUCCCAUCUCCUUGGCUGCAGCACCCAAUUAAACCUUCUUUCCUGGCAAUACUCAUUGUCUCAGUGAUUGGCUUUCUGUGUGGUGAGCAGCAGGACGUAGGCCAAACCCCUGGUAUUUCAGUAACAUUUCCUUCUUGGAACACAGUCCCAUAUUGUAAGGAACCCAACCCACAUGGAGAGGCCAGGUGGAAGAGAGUGGAGGCACUCAGUCUAUGGUCCCAGCUUAGUUCCCAACUAACAGCCAGCAUCAACCACCAGCCAUGUAAGCUCUCCACUGUGGACAUUCAGCUCAGCCAAGGCCCCACCCAGUUGACUAGAGUCCCACCUGACAUCACAUGCAAAAGAGCUACCCAGGUGAGCCAAGUCAGCCUAUACAGUUAGAAAGAAAAUAAAAUGAUUGUUGUUUCUAAGAUGCUAAGUUUUGAGGUGGUUUGUUUUUGUGCAACAUAUGAUUGAAAC
This 1183-nucleotide long non-coding RNA is filed under the name Homo sapiens (human). RNAcentral's name for it is "HSALNT0399903". The record is from RNAcentral. Lineage: Eukaryota; Metazoa; Chordata; Mammalia; Primates; Hominidae.